RNAcentral lists this ribosomal RNA (96 nucleotides) under uncultured bacterium. Its description in RNAcentral is "partial 16S ribosomal RNA". It matches the Rfam family "Bacterial small subunit ribosomal RNA", at positions 395 to 508 of the family's 1533-position model. The record is from RNAcentral.
UGCCGCGUGAGUGAAGAAGGCCUUCGGGUUGUAAAGCUCUUUUGUUAGGGAAGAUGAUGACGGUACCUAACGAAUAAGCACCGGCUAACUUCGUGC